GUCGCGGUUAAACUUGGGGGUUAAAUAAAAUUUAUUAGUUGAAGUUAGUAAAGUUAAUUUUAAAUAAGAUUUUAUCUUAAUAAAAAGUGAAAUUAGGUUAUUAAAUAUAAAAUUUUAUUUAGCUUUAAAAUAAUGAAGCUUAAAAAAUUAAGGUAUGAAUUAGGAUUAGAUACCCUAGUACACUUAAAUUUAAUUAAAAUAAACUAGAAUAUUAAAAGUUAUAUUCUUUAAAUUUAAAAAAUUUGGCGGUAUUUUAGUCUAGUUAGAGGAACCUGUUUUUUAAACGAUAAUACACGCAUUAUCUUACUUAUUCUAGUAAUCAGCUUGUAUACCGUCAUUAUAAGAUAAUUUAAGAGAAAAUAUUAUUAGAAUCAUGUUAUAUGGAUAUAUUAGAUCAAGGUGCAGCUAAUGAAUAAGGAAAAAUGGGUUACAAUAAAAUUUAUUUAUAUGAAUUUAAUGUUUAAA
This 465-nucleotide ribosomal RNA is filed under the name Astacus colchicus. RNAcentral's name for it is "partial small subunit ribosomal RNA". The record is from RNAcentral. Lineage: Eukaryota; Metazoa; Arthropoda; Malacostraca; Decapoda; Astacidae.